GAUGAACGCUAGCGGCAGGCCUAACACAUGCAAGUCGAGGGGCAGCACGUAAAGAUGCAGCAACGUAGCUUUUGGUGGCGACCGGCGGACGGGUGCGUAACGCGUAUGCAACCUACCUUUUACAGGGGGAUAACGGAUGGAAACGUCCACUAAUACCCCAUAAUAUCCGAAGAGGCAUCUCUUUGGGUUGAAAACUCCGGUGGUAAAAGAUGGGCAUGCGUUGUAUUAGGUAGUUGGUGAGGUAAUGGCUCACCAAGCCUACGAUACAUAGGGGGACGGAGAGGUUAGCCCCCCACACUGGUACUGAGACACGGACCAGACUCCUACGGGAGGCAGCAGUGAGGAAUAUUGGUCAAUGGGGGCAACCCUGAACCAGCCAUGCCGCGUGCAGGAAGACGGCUCUAUGAGUUGUAAACUGCUUUUGUAUAGGGAUAAAUCGGGAUACGUGUAUUCCGUUGAAGGUACUAUACGAAUAAGGAUCGGCUAACUCCGUGCCAGCCGCCGCCGUAA
RNAcentral lists this ribosomal RNA (510 nucleotides) under uncultured bacterium. Its description in RNAcentral is "partial 16S ribosomal RNA". It matches the Rfam family "Bacterial small subunit ribosomal RNA", at positions 28 to 523 of the family's 1533-position model. The record is from RNAcentral.